CCCAAUUUAAAGCUGUUAAUUAUGUCUCGACCCCCCCCCCCCCCAUUUUGAGGCUCAGAGCACGACAAGUGAGGGCUGCAGAGCGGUGCACAAGCUCCCAGCAUUUCCACCAACCUCUGGCCCCAACCCGGAGCAGCUGGAGGGCCGAGGUCCAGCACCCCUGGGGGGACUCUGAGUCUGUCCCCCCACCCCCAGGGGCUGGCACGGGCGGGGAGAUGGAUCUCAGCCCCCCCACCACUUGCUCCCCACCCCAGGAGAUGCUGAGAACAGCGGGGUCCCCAAGCACCCCAUGUCCCCAUGGUGGUCCUGGGCGGUGGGACAUGAGCUCAGGUCCUCCCAGGCACCAUGUCCCCCCCCCGUGACAUGCCUGGGGGAGGGGACACACACACGUUUAUUCUACCCCCCCCAGCCAGCAGCACACCUGGGAGGUGCCUCGCAGCGGGGGGGGGGAGCCCUGCCUCAGUUUCCCCACUGCGAGAUUGGUGUGGGGGGGCCUGGGGGUGGUUCCUGCAUCCCUUUCCACCCCCCCCCCCCCUUCAACCACCUCCAGCCCCGGGGAGGGGCGGGCAGGCGGGGCCGCUGCUGAAUAAAGGGAUUAAUUCGGCGCUGGGGAGGGAGAGGGGGCACCGCACCGCACCGAGCACCGCGCACGGCACCGCGCAGAGCCCCGCGCAUCUCCGGGCGCAUCGCUCCGCACCUCGCGCAUCUCCCGGCGCAUCUCCCGGUGGAGAACCCCGCGCAUCUCCCCGCGCAUCUCCCCCCACAUCUCCCCGCACAUCUCCCCGCACAGCCCCGCGCAUCUCUCCGCGCAGAGCCCCGCGCAUCUCCGGGCGCAUCGCUCCGCACCCCGCGCAUCUCCCCGCGCAUCUCCCGGUGGAGAGCCCCCGCGCGUCUCCCCGCACAUCCCCGCGCGUCUCCCCGCUCCGCACCCCAUGGCUCUGCAGCUCCAGCUCCGCACCGUCUCCGGCCUCCGCGGCAGAGCCGACCGCAUCGCCAAGGCGGCUUUCCGAGGGCUCUCCUUCUACACCCGAGUGCUGGAAAGCUGCGAGGACGAGGCCAGGUUUGACGAGGUAA
This 1074-nucleotide long non-coding RNA is filed under the name Anser cygnoides (Swan goose). Its description in RNAcentral is "lncRNA (ENSACDG00005003461.1)". Lineage: Eukaryota; Metazoa; Chordata; Aves; Anseriformes; Anatidae. The record is from RNAcentral.